UACGUAGGGUGCAAGCGUUGUCCGGAAUUAUUGGGCGUAAAGAGCUCGUAGGCGGUCUGUUGCGUCGGCUGUGAAAACCCGGGGCUCAACCCCGGGCCUGCAGCCGAUACGGGCAGACUAGAGUUCGGCAGGGGAGACUGGAAUUCCUGGUGUAGCGGUGGAAUGCGCAGAUAUCAGGAGGAACACCGGUGGCGAAGGCGGGAUCCUGGGCCAGUACUGACGCUGAGGAGCGAAAGCGUGGGGAGCAAACAGG
This 253-nucleotide ribosomal RNA is filed under the name uncultured bacterium. RNAcentral describes it as "partial 16S ribosomal RNA". It matches the Rfam family "Bacterial small subunit ribosomal RNA", at positions 524 to 776 of the family's 1533-position model. The record is from RNAcentral.